Molecule: transfer RNA, 72 nt
Filed under: Lucilia cuprina (Australian sheep blowfly)
Lineage: Eukaryota; Metazoa; Arthropoda; Insecta; Diptera; Calliphoridae
Rfam family: tRNA
About the family: Transfer RNA (tRNA) molecules are approximately 80 nucleotides in length.
Source: Rfam by way of RNAcentral
GACUCCGUGAAGCAGCGGUAGUGCGUCUUACUCCAGAUAAGAAGGUUGCGUGUUCAAAUCACUUUGGGGUCA